Molecule: unclassified non-coding RNA, 508 nt
Filed under: Hevea brasiliensis (rubber tree)
Lineage: Eukaryota; Viridiplantae; Streptophyta; Magnoliopsida; Malpighiales; Euphorbiaceae
Source: RNAcentral
AACUAUUAUUUGUUUAGUAAAUAAGAGUUUUAGAUAUCCAACAUUACAGAUAGUUUACAAUCAUAGAAACCAGAAACUACAAAUCUUGUUCCAAGUGAUGCUAAAACAGGCAUUGAUUCAUAAUAGAAGACAUGAACACAGCACAGUAGAAGACAUGAACACAUCACAGCCAAACAGACUGAAGAAAGAACACCGAUUUUGCAACCGUCUAUCGGAAACAGGCCAAGCACUCCUCCAACAUACAACAACAACAAAGUGUAGCUAAGCAUCCAUGAAGGAAGGAGGAACAAUCAUUUCGAUCAUCGUAGUGAUAGUGCUGAUGAUGAUAAGGCGGUGGAGGAGGAGGAGGCGGCGCCGAUGGCUGAUACCCAUCAUAGAAAUACCCUUGAUAGCCUUGGUGCGGCGGCGGUGGUGGCGGUGGCUGAUGACCGGGAUAUCCAGGCUGCGGCGGAGGGUACCCGGGAGGAGGGUAGGUUUCCGGCGGAGGAUGGUGGUAGCCGUAAGCGUA